RNAcentral lists this ribosomal RNA (500 nucleotides) under uncultured bacterium. RNAcentral's name for it is "partial 16S ribosomal RNA". It matches the Rfam family "Bacterial small subunit ribosomal RNA", at positions 29 to 523 of the family's 1533-position model. The record is from RNAcentral.
AUUGAACGCUGGCGGCAUGCCUUACACAUGCAAGUCGAGCGGCAGCGCGGGGGCAACCCUGGCGGCGAGCGGCGGACGGGUGAGUAAUACAUCGGAACGUGUCCUUUCGUGGGGGAUAACCAGUCGAAAGACUGGCUAAUACCGCAUGAGAUCUCACGAUGAAAGCGGGGGACCGCAAGGCCUCGCGCGAUUGGAGCGGCCGAUGUCGGAUUAGCUAGUUGGCGGGGUAAAAGCCCACCAAGGCGACGAUCCGUAGCUGGUUUGAGAGAACGACCAGCCACACUGGGACUGGGACACGGCCCAGACUCCUACGGGAGGCAGCAGUGGGGAAUUUUGGACAAUGGGGGCAACCCUGAUCCAGCCAUGCCGCGUGUGUGAAGAAGGCCUUCGGGUUGUAAAGCACUUUCGGCCGGAACGAAAUCGCGCGGAUUAAUAACCCGCGUGGAUGACGGUACCGGAAGAAGAAGCACCGGCUAACUACGUGCCAGCAGCCGCCGUAA